AGACUAAACAGUGUGAGACAACAGCUGACAGGAUCACACCACAAAGUGCAGCGACGCUCCCACCUGCAGACGCCGCCAGCUUCUGUCCGACACAACGUGGAUCUCAUCAUCAUGAAACAAGGCCUCCUCGGACUGUCGGUCUUUGUGCUGUGGACUGCAGGACUGACUGAUGGAAGUGAUGUGACCCAGACUGACAUACUGUGGAAAAGAGAAGGCGAAGACGCAACAAUGAGCUGCAGCCACAGAAAGGGUGCUACCUACUACGAGAUGUACUGGUACAGACAGCUGCCAGGAGAAACGAUGAAGCAGAUCGUCUACACUAGAGCUAACUUAGAAAAUCAGUACUUUGGAAGUUUCAGCAAAGAGAAAUUCUCAGCCACCAAACCUGAUGCUGAGAGUGGGACAUUCACAGUGAAGAAUCUGGUGCCAGGAGACAAAGGCUUGUAUUUCUGUGCUGUUAGUCAACACAGUGAUACAGACACAUGUGAAAGCUGAACAAAAACCCCAGUGUGCCGUUAGCAGAGCUGAUACGAUUAUCUCAUGUACUGCAGGGGGACCUCGAGGACCACAAACACUCCACGUUCCACUUUGACUCGUCUCGUUGGUUUUAAUACAACAGCAAACAGGAUCAGAGGUCGUCACGCGCUGCAGAGACACGCCCA
Non-coding RNA from Scatophagus argus, 662 nucleotides. NCBI's taxonomy places the organism in Eukaryota, Metazoa, Chordata, Actinopteri, Scatophagidae. The record is from the annotation of a RefSeq genome assembly.